This 990-nucleotide ribosomal RNA is filed under the name Lunasporangiospora chienii. Its description in RNAcentral is "eukaryotic LSU rRNA". It matches the Rfam family "Eukaryotic large subunit ribosomal RNA", at positions 92 to 933 of the family's 3401-position model. Lineage: Eukaryota; Fungi; Mortierellomycota; Mortierellomycetes; Mortierellales; Mortierellaceae. The record is from RNAcentral.
AGUGAAGCGGGAUGAGCUCAAAUUUGAAAUCUGGCUGGUUUUACUGGUCCGAGUUGUAGUUUAUAGAGGUGUUUUCGGUGGCAGCCUGGGUAUAAAUCCUUUGGAAUAGGGUAUCAUGGAGGGUGAGAAUCCCGUCUUUGACCCAGGUUCAUGCUACUAUGUGAUACAUCUUCAAAGAGUCGAGUUGUUUGGGAAUGCAGCUCUAAAUGGGUGGUAAAUUUCAUCUAAAGCUAAAUACAGGCGAGAGACCGAUAGCGAACAAGUACCGUGAGGGAAAGAUGAAAAGAACUUUGAAAAGAGAGUUAAACAGUGCGUGAAAUUGUUGAAAGGGAAACGUUUGAAGCCAGCCGUGCGGGCGGAAAAUCAGCCUAGCUGUGGUGGGGAGCUAUUGGAGGUUCGGAGCGCAAGCCCGGCCUUUGGUGGCAUCUUUGUCACAAUGGGUGCACUUUUUCGUUUGCAGGCCAACAUCAGUUUGCUUCGCUGGAAAAGGCCUUGAGGGAAUGUGGCAGCUUUGGCUGUGUUAUAGCCCUGAGGAGAUACAGUGGAGUGGACUGAGGAGUCGCAGCGUGUGCUUUCGGGCAAGGUAGACUGGGUGCUGUGGGAUGGGGCGAGGUACAAUGCAUGCAUUUUGCUUCGUCUUUUCUGUCCUGCACUCGCUCAUCUCUACUCUUCCACGCUUAGGAUGUUGGCAUAAUGGAUUUAAACGACCCGUCUUGAAACACGGACCAAGGAGUCUAACAUAUAUGCGAGUGUUUGGGUGGCAAACCCAUGCGCGAAAUGAAAGUGAACGUAGGUGCGAUCCGCAAGGUGCAGCAUCGACCGAUCUUGAAUUUUUAGGAUAGAUUUGAGUAAGAGCAUAUAUGCUGGGACCCGAAAGAUGGUGAACUAUGCCUGAAUAGGGUGAAGCCAGAGGAAACUCUGGUGGAGGCUCGUAGCGACUUCUGACGUGCAAAUCGAUCGUCAAAUUUGGGUAAUAGGGGCGAAAGACUA